Molecule: long non-coding RNA, 1126 nt
Filed under: Junco hyemalis (dark-eyed junco)
Lineage: Eukaryota; Metazoa; Chordata; Aves; Passeriformes; Passerellidae
Description: lncRNA (ENSJHYG00000018355.1)
Source: RNAcentral
CCCCACCUCUCGCGCGACGUCACGCGGCCGGGCCGGGCGGUGGCGGCGCGCGGGGAUGGAGCGGCUGCCGCUCGGCCGGGUAAAUUCUUGGUCCAUCUGGAAGUGUCUAGAGGCAAGGAAGGCCCGGAAUUUUUGCUUACAGCUCUGGAGGAGGAGUCUUCCCUUUCCACUGGCUUCCCCAGCACAUUUACUGGUGUGGCGUGUUCUCCUCAGGUGGUUCUGUAGCUGUCUGUCUGCCAGUGAGAGCUGGGUUUUGGCACGUGAAUUCACCAAGUGCAAGGUGUUUCUCAGGUGAGCUGGCUGGUUGCCUGCCUCCUGAUAGACCUGGAGUCUCCUCACCCCUGAAAUAGAGGGAGUGGGUUUUGCUGUCCCCUAAGGCCUGAUGAAGGCUGGUUGCUGUAGCACACUGAAUGGUGUUGGGCACAGAGGUUGUGCACUCCCCAUGGGGGAUGGAGCUCCUGUGGACUUGAGCUCUCUGGGGCCAGGAACAGGAUGGUCUCUCAACAGCAAGACUUGUAAAAAUGGUGUGUAGACAAUGAACCCUGGUGGCCCAGGUGACAUCAAGAGGUCCCUUCCAAGGUCAGCAAAUCUGUGAACUCGGCACAGUGUUUCCUAGAGGGUAAACUGACAUCCCUAGAAAGAGUGAAGAUGGCUGAAUGAAAAGGAACAUGAAGGUGGCAGUCUAGACAUGCAUUGUCUGCACUUCUAGAAACUCAGUAUUCUGCUGUGAUUAAAUACUGAAAAUACUUAACCCCCCCAAGCAGUUGAGACCCUGGAUAUUGUUACAGGACAAUGAUAGCUGACCAAGCUGAUUGUUUGGUCUUGAAUCAAAAUUGUUCUUCCAACCAAACUGUUAAGGAAAAAAGAAAGAAGACAAUUAAUUGUGUAGAGUUAAAUAUAUUUUUGCAAAAUGUAAUGUCUUCGUACUUUCAGAAACAUUUAAUGGUAAUGCAGAUCUAGUUGACCCUUUUCAUUUUUAAACUCCUGUACCAAAAAUACAAAACACUUCUAUCAAAAUAAGAUUGAGAACUUUGAUUUGGAAGCUAGAUCUGACACACCAUCUGAAAUGCAAACACAGAACAGGAGGUCUCUGCCCCAAAAAUGUUUACGUUUUAUUAACUUAAAU